UCCCAGCCCUUUGUGGUGAAGAAUGAUCGCAUCAAAAUCCGCCACGUCUACCUCUCAUGGCACAUCAUGCAGUGCGAACAAAAGGGAUGCCAAGCAAGCUUGCCGGAAGCUAACUGUGAUAGUGCCCGUGCUUCUAUUCUUUCAGGAAUGUUCUAAUGACGUGGCAGUUCUGGAAUCAUUCAGGGCUUUCAGUCCCUGGUGGAACACUAUAACUAUACAAGGCAUCUUAUAGAUGUUAGAAGACAAAACAGGAGGGAAGGAAGGUCAACAAGAAAUUUCAACUGCGACCAAGAAGAACAAAGAAAAACAAUAUGGCUUAAAAUUUUUGUUCACCUGUAAAAGGGCCCUUAUUUUGUACAAGCAAAAAACAAUUAAGAAUGCUGCACAAACAUACUUAUUCAAAUCAACCUUACCAUGGGUACCAACAGUCACCCACCUCCUAGCAGAGUCAGAUGUUUCCAACAGUUUUUAGGCAUCUUCAUUACAAUAAAAAUGCUGACUAGA
This is a long non-coding RNA of Bufo gargarizans (Asiatic toad), 504 nucleotides long. RefSeq lists it as uncharacterized. The record is from RefSeq and is a predicted model, not a curated record. Lineage: Eukaryota; Metazoa; Chordata; Amphibia; Anura; Bufonidae. The transcript is spliced from 2 exons.